Python bivittatus (Burmese python) is the source of this 1130-nucleotide long non-coding RNA. RefSeq lists it as uncharacterized. The record is from RefSeq and is a predicted model, not a curated record. Lineage: Eukaryota; Metazoa; Chordata; Lepidosauria; Squamata; Pythonidae.
GGGCAAGAGAGAGUAGCAAGAAGUUAGUGGGAGUGUGAAGUAUUUUGAAGUGGAAAAUAGAAAUCACCACCAACAGAUUCCCCAUAAUGGAGGUGAUGAGACAACGUGCAGAGGAGCACCAAGGAAGGAUUUGUUCAGAGUAGUUUGGUCAAAUCCUUGGGGGUGAAGCAACAAAGACAGAUGCUACAAGAGUUACAACUUGAUUCCAUCUGAGGGAUGCAAGACUUUUGGAAUGCUGCACAAAUGCACCCAUGCCCAACAUCUUCAUUUCCCUAGUGGACUAAUAAGAGAGAAAGGAAGAGGAAGACAAGAAAUUGGAGGAAGACAGAAGAGGAGCUCUGUUUUUCAAAAAGAAAUAAGUGAUACCGAAAUCAGAGGCUCUCUGAACCGGAGAGAGUGCUGUAUACAUAUGUAUAAGAAAUGUGGAUUGUGCAUGCGAUUGUGCAUUUGCUAAAUGCUGUUUUCUCUUUGCUUAGGCUUGUAUAUCUUUUGCAUUGUUGCAAACUGGGCUUUUUUUCCGAAUGAAAGUUAAGGAUUGAUUAUAAUAUCAAUGAGAAAGCAAAGACUUUUUUGCUAAAAUAACAGUGCAAAUAGUUGGGGAAGGGAGAUCCUGGUCCUCCCCCUGAUGAAAACAUUGUAUUUCCCUCUCUUUCUCUCUUUUUCCCUUGUAAGUAGGACCUUCCUUUAUUUUCAGUUCCUGCAAAAAUAUAAAUAGAAAACCAUCUUACAGGUACCAGUUACAGUGCAAUUAUUGAUUCUUUAGCCUGAUGUUACUGUUUAAUUAUUAAACUGCUAGUUUACAAAACAAAUAAGCUGGGAUAAAGAAUUCUGCAGUAUGAAUAGUGUCUAUACUAAUUUGGAAAUUCGGAAAAGCGGAAGUAAAGCUUCAACAAUUAACUGAAUGAUGUGAGUACGCAGUUGAUUGGUGUAUUAAGAGACAUCUUUUUUCAAAUCAAACAACUUUUCAGCUUCAAGGCAGUAUAAGCUAAACAAUAUUUGUUUGCAUUGAAAUGAGCUCAAUGUGUUAUUCAAAUAAACAUAGAGGCUUUUAAAUCAUAAAACUGCAAAAAAGAAGAAAGAAUACAUACUUUCUUGGCUUGGGGUUCAAAUAUGUAAAUAGCAUAGGAAAA